UCAGGACGAACGCUGGCGGCGUGCUUAACACAUGCAAGUCGAACGAUGAUGCCCAGCUUGCUGGGUUGAUUAGUGGCGAACGGGUGAGUAACACGUGAGUAACCUGCCCCUGACUCUGGGAUAAGCGUUGGAAACGACGUCUAAUACUGGAUAUGAUCACUGGCCGCAUGGUCUGGUGGUGGAAAGAUUUUUUGGUUGGGGAUGGACUCGCGGCCUAUCAGCUUGUUGGUGAGGUAAUGGCUCACCAAGGCGACGACGGGUAGCCGGCCUGAGAGGGUGACCGGCCACACUGGGACUGAGACACGGCCCAGACUCCUACGGGAGGCAGCAGUGGGGAAUAUUGCACAAUGGGCGAAAGCCUGAUGCAGCAACGCCGCGUGAGGGAUGACGGCCUUCGGGUUGUAAACCUCUUUUAGUAGGGAAGAAGCGAAAGUGACGGUACCUGCAGAAAAAGCACCGGCUAACUACGUGCCAGCAGCCGCGGUAAUACGUAGGGUGCAAGCGUUGUCCGGAAUUAUUGGGCGUAAAGAGCUCGUAGGCGGUUUGUCGCGUCUGCUGUGAAAUCCCGAGGCUCAACCUCGGGCUUGCAGUGGGUACGGGCAGACUAGAGUGCGGUAGGGGAGAUUGGAAUUCCUGGUGUAGCGGUGGAAUGCGCAGAUAUCAGGAGGAACACCGAUGGCGAAGGCAGAUCUCUGGGCCGUAAC
This 704-nucleotide ribosomal RNA is filed under the name Curtobacterium flaccumfaciens pv. flaccumfaciens. RNAcentral's name for it is "bacterial SSU rRNA". It matches the Rfam family "Bacterial small subunit ribosomal RNA", at positions 24 to 740 of the family's 1533-position model. The record is from RNAcentral. Lineage: Bacteria; Bacillati; Actinomycetota; Actinomycetes; Micrococcales; Microbacteriaceae.